UAGGAUUCCCUUAGUAGCUGCGAGCGAACAGGGAAAAGCCCAUCACUGAAUCCUGCGUGCAUUGUGCGUUAGGAAUUGUAGUGUUUAGGAGAAUCUGUUUAUCCUGUGUACGAGCAAUAAGAUUAAGUCCUUCUUGAAUGGGGCCACUAACCCAUAGAGGGUGCCAGGCCCGUACUGUCUAUUGCCGCUAAAUAGGAAGAUUUCUCUUUAGAGUCGGGUUGCUUGAGAGUGCAGCUCUAAGUGGGUGGUAAACUCCAUCUAAGGCUAAAUAUGAUCACGAGACCGAUAGCAAACAAGUACCGUGAGGGAAAGUUGAAAAGAACUUUGAAGAGAGAGUUCAAUAGUACGUGAAACUGUUCAGGGGUAAACCUGAGAAUCCUGAUUUGUCUAUGAUAAAGAUUCAUACGUUUUUCAAUGACAGCGAUUAAUUUUAAUGUUUAUGUCAGUAGUUUUUACUAUGUGAUUGCAUUAUGUUAACGUACUGAUGUCGAAAGCGUGCAAUUCUUUGUCAAUUGGACAUCGCAACCCGUUGUUCGUCUGUCUAAGAGCUAAUGUGUUGUUAUUUUGUGGCUGCAAGCACUUGGAUUUCCGACAGGCAUGUGCGACGGUAUGAACAUUUAGCGUGCGGUCGCGACUAAUUCGCGUCUCCUCCAAUGCAAGUGUGUAAAAGCAUUGUUGGCAUUGGUUGUGUGACAGUACCGAAUGUGCGCAUGUUUGCGAUGCUUAAGCUUCAGGAAAUUUCAGGACCCGUCUUGAAACACGGACCAAGGAGUCUAGCAUGUUCGCAAGUUGUUGGGAUUAUUAAUGAAACCCAUAAGCGAAAUGAAAGUGAAGGUUAAUCUUGCGUUGACCGAGGGAAGAUAGUUGGCACACCGUUGUCAUCUCGCACUCCCAGGGCGUCCCAUUCUAUAUUAUAGAAGGGGCGCAUCUAGAGCGAACACGCUGGUACCCGAAAGGUGGUGAACUAUGCCUGGUCAGGGCGAAGUCAGGGGAAACCCUGAUGGAGGUCCGUAGCGAUUCUGACGUGCAAAUCGAUCGUCGGAACUGGGUAUAGCGGCGAAAGACUAAUCGAACCAUCUAGUAGCUGGUUCCCUCCGAAGUUUCUCUCAGGAUAGCUGGCGCUCAAUGAAUGAGUCUCUUUCGGUAAAGCGAAUGAUUAGAGGCAUUGGGGUCGAAACGGCCUCAACCUAUUGUCAAACUUUAAAUGGGUGAGAUUUCCGGCUUGCUUAAAUUAAUGAAGCCGUGAAGUAUGUAUGUGCAUUUGUGUGCAUAUACUGUGGAUCAGAGUGCCAAGUGGGCCAUUUUUG
This 1307-nucleotide ribosomal RNA is filed under the name Clambus seminulum. RNAcentral's name for it is "eukaryotic LSU rRNA". It matches the Rfam family "Eukaryotic large subunit ribosomal RNA", at positions 70 to 1139 of the family's 3401-position model. The record is from RNAcentral. Lineage: Eukaryota; Metazoa; Arthropoda; Insecta; Coleoptera; Clambidae.